RNAcentral lists this ribosomal RNA (539 nucleotides) under Acremonium potronii. RNAcentral describes it as "partial large subunit ribosomal RNA". It matches the Rfam family "Eukaryotic large subunit ribosomal RNA", at positions 82 to 648 of the family's 3401-position model. The record is from RNAcentral. Lineage: Eukaryota; Fungi; Ascomycota; Sordariomycetes; Hypocreales; Bionectriaceae.
AGUACGGCGAGUGAAGCGGCAACAGCUCAAAUUUGAAAUCUGGCACUUGUGCCCGAGUUGUAAUUUGUAGAGGAUGCUUUUGGCGACGCGCCUUCCGAGUUCCCUGGAACGGGACGCCAUAGAGGGUGAGAGCCCCGUCCGGUCGUGCGCCUAGCCUCUGUAAAGCUCCUUCGACGAGUCGAGUAGUUUGGGAAUGCUGCUCUAAAUGGGAGGUAUACGUCUUCUAAAGCUAAAUACCGGCCAGAGACCGAUAGCGCACAAGUAGAGUGAUCGAAAGAUGAAAAGCACUUUGAAAAGAGGGUUAAAUAGUACGUGAAAUUGCUGAAAGGGAAGCGCUUAUGACCAGACUUGGGCGCGGCGGAUCAUCCGGCGUUCUCGCCGGUGCACUCCACCGCCCCAGGCCAGCAUCAGUUCGCGCCGGGGGACAAAGGCUUCGGGAAUGUGGCUCCCUCGGGAGUGUUAUAGCCCGUUGCGUAAUACCCUGGUGCGGACUGAGGUCCGCGCUCUGCAAGGAUGCUGGCGUAAUGGUCAUCAGUGAC